Molecule: long non-coding RNA, 304 nt
Filed under: Apteryx owenii (little spotted kiwi)
Lineage: Eukaryota; Metazoa; Chordata; Aves; Apterygiformes; Apterygidae
Description: lncRNA (ENSAOWG00000004086.1)
Source: RNAcentral
CAUUCAUACAAUGUCUGUACCUCGAGCAAGCAGAGCAAUAGAACUGCGAAGUAGCCAGCGUUCAAACUUUUCUCCAAAGCUUGUUUUCAACUCAUCACCGUUCUGAAAAAUGAUCCUGCUAGUGUAUGAGAAAGACUGAAUCAUGGAACGGAGGGGGCUGAGAAAGCUGCUCGCCUGCGGGACCUCCAUUUGAUGUCAUCUUUGUUUCCUGCUCUUCUACUUGCACUUCAGCUUUUUGUCUUUGCUGCUUCCUUGUUGCUUUUCUAAGGCAACAUCGUCAUAUCACAACCGUGUGUUUUUUUUG